UUGGAGGGCAAGUCUGGUGCCAGCAGCCGCGGUAAUUCCAGCUCCAAUAGCGUAUAUUAAAGUUGCUGCAGUUAAAAAGCUCAUAGUUGAAUUUCGGGACCAUCAUGUCGGUCGUGCCUCGGUACGUACUGGUAUUGUUGGUUUCUCCCUUCUGACGAACCAUGAUGUCAUUUAUUUGGUGUUGUGGGGAAUCAGGACUGUUACUUUGAAAAAAUUAGAGUGUUUAAAGCAGGCUCACGCUUGAAUACAUUAGCAUGGAAUAAUGAAAUAGGACGUUUGAUUCUAUUUUGUUGGUUUCUAGGAUCGACGUAAUGAUUAAUAGGGAUAGUUGGGGGCAUUAGUAUUCAAUUGUCAGAGGUGAAAUUCUUGGAUUUAUUGAAGACUAACUACUGCGAAAGCAUUUGCCAAGGAUGUUUUCAUUAAUCAAGAACGAAAGUUAGGGGAUCGAAGACGAUCAGAUACCGUCGUAGUCUUAACCAUAAACUAUGCCGACUAGGGAUCGGAUGAUGUUAAUUUUUUAAUGACUCAUUCGGCGCCUUACGGGAAAC
Molecule: ribosomal RNA, 548 nt
Filed under: uncultured Glomeromycotina
Lineage: Eukaryota; Fungi; Glomeromycota
Description: SSU rRNA
Rfam family: Eukaryotic small subunit ribosomal RNA
Source: RNAcentral